Molecule: ribosomal RNA, 253 nt
Filed under: uncultured bacterium
Lineage: Bacteria
Description: partial 16S ribosomal RNA
Rfam family: Bacterial small subunit ribosomal RNA
Source: RNAcentral
UACGAAGGGUGCAAACGUUGCUCGGAAUUAUUGGGCGUAAAGCGCACGUAGGCGGUUCGUUAAGUCGGAUGUGAAAGCCCUCGGCUCAACUGAGGAAGUGCACCCGAAACUGGCGAGCUUGAGUACGAAAGAGGAUCGCGGAAUUCCCGGUGUAGAGGUGAAAUUCGUAGAUAUCGGGAGGAACACCGGUGGCGAAGGCGGCGAUCUGGGUCGAUACUGACGCUGAGGUGCGAAAGCGUGGGGAGCAAACAGG